Molecule: unclassified non-coding RNA, 205 nt
Filed under: Hevea brasiliensis (rubber tree)
Lineage: Eukaryota; Viridiplantae; Streptophyta; Magnoliopsida; Malpighiales; Euphorbiaceae
Source: RNAcentral
GGAUAAUAGUGAACAGUUUUAAGGAAUUGGAAGGAGGAGCCAUUGGCGCUCUACAGAAGGAUGAACCGGGUAAACCAACCGUUUACCCGGUUGGCCCGCUUAUUCAGAUGGAUUCGGGUAGUAAGGUUGACGGGUCGGAGUGUAUGACGUGGCUGGAUGAACAGCCGCGUGGCUCUGUGUUAUACAUAUCGUACGGUAGUGGUGG